RNAcentral lists this long non-coding RNA (1390 nucleotides) under Lupinus angustifolius (narrow-leaved blue lupine). RNAcentral's name for it is "long non-coding RNA (LANG_LNC002786)". The record is from RNAcentral. Lineage: Eukaryota; Viridiplantae; Streptophyta; Magnoliopsida; Fabales; Fabaceae.
AAAAUGAUGUUUUUUUGUAUGACUCACCUCUGGCUACCUCACCAACCAUAUUGUCAUCAUCACUAAUAUCAGGAAGAGUCACACUAAUUAUAAACCAUAAAGUAAUGUUCCUUAAAAAUCAUCAUCAGAAUAAGUCAGUACCUCACAAGAAGAGAGUUUCCUUCAGUGUUCAAGCAUAAGCUGCAAAGCCCCCUGUUGGUGUAUGCUCUUCAUAUUUUGCUUCUUGUUUCAUUUCAGUUAUUUUUGUGCUGACUUUUUAUAAUUAUUUUCUUACAUAUUGUUGCAUUAUGAAGAAGUUGAGUGUGUUUGUUUCUUCAGGUAGAAUUUCCAAAAGUGCAGCCACAAAUUAAGGCUUCAUUUCUUGGGUUCACAUAUACAGCAAAAGUAUGGAACUCAAGAGCUGGCAUGAACAUAAGGAACAAAUAUAGCACUAAUUAGGGUGCAUAAAUACCCAAAAUAUUUUGUAAACAACAUAAAAUUAUAAAUAAAAAAUCAGAAACAUGUAAUCAUUCGAGGUCAAUUCAUCUUGAAAACAAUGUAACUACAUAUGUCUAGUAAAUAGCAAUCACCAUAUUAAACACUAUCAUGUAUUUUAAAAUGAAGAAAAAAGAGAGAUUACCAAAAGAAGUUGAGAUCUUCAAGUUAGCCGGUUCACAACUCACAAAAGGGUUUGGUGAUAUUUCAAUUCCAAACACCUUCACAGGAUUCUAGUUUUGAAACGAAGGAGAUUAGAUCCUCUAGACUUGCACAAAAACUAAACCUAAAAUAAAAAAAGAGAAUGGGUAAGAGUAAGAGUGAAAUACCAAAGUAUUUGAAGGAAACCUUAUCUUAAGCGAGAAAUGAUGAAGGGAAUAAGAUGGACAAGAGUAUUAUGGGGUACAAUUUAGGAAGAUAAUGAAACUCCAUUGCACGAAGAAGAAGAAACUAGAAGACAAAAGAGAGGUUGGAUGUGNNNNNCUGAAAGAAGAACAAAGACAAAUUAAACUAAGAAGUGGUUACUUGGAAUCUGAGGACGUGGUAAACUAGCUUUUCCCUUCCAUUAUCAGAAUUUGAUGGAAGAAGGAGAAGAGUUAUUUUUCUUCUCAUUAUCAAAAUCGGAAGAAGAUAAAUCGUGAUUCGUGAUGAUUUCAGAAUCUGAAAUCAUAUCUAAGACCGAUUCACCUACUCAGAAUCAAACAUUAAGUAGUUGAAAUUUUAUUUGCUUUAGUUUAUUCUAAUUUAGGGAUUGAGAUCGAAAGAACCAUAUUUCCUAAAAUUUGUAACAUAAUUAUAAAAUAAAAAAGAAUGUUAAUAUACCUGUGAAGAAGCUACAAAUGCAUAUGAUGGAAGAAGCUUUGAUGAGCUGUGAUGGAAGAAAUUAUGAGCAAAGAUGGAGAAAUUUUGAGUUGUG